GAUGGCGGCGAAGGCAGGCGGUGGCGCUGAGUAGAGAGAGAUGACGUCGGCGGCGGUGGCGCUGAGUAGAGAGAGAUGACGUCCAUAAUCUUGCGGAGGUGUUCCUCAACCUACAUGAGGUUUGCACAUUCCCUUCCCUUUUUCUGAAUCUGUUUUUCUUUAAUUUCCUCGGUUAUGCGUAUGAUUACUUGCUAGCCUGUAGCAUAGCCAGUUUUCAAUGUUUUCAUAUAGAGUUUUAUUUGGCUUGUGCUUUCAUAUUUUUACAGGCACCCCAAGUGUGGGAAGAAUAAAAUGUAAUUCAAUUGUUGGGUAUAUUGUUCAGAUGAGUUCGUCCUGUGCUAGAAGGUGAGCUGAACCCAGCCUAGGCCUCAAGUUUCUCCUGUCCUUUGAAGUGCAUUGUUAUUUCUGUGAGGUUCACAUGUAAUUUGUUCAACUAUAGUACUCAGUGAAUGAGACAAGGCACUACUGCAUUUAAUUUUGUGGUGUUCAGCUGCAGGAAUUCAGUUUGUUUCUGGUUUUUUGGAAGUCAUAGAUUGUUUUGUGCCGGAAACAGGAGAAGUAAUGCUCUAACCUUGGCAGCAAAAAUGGUCUAAAUUUCAUAUAGAAGGCCCUAGAACACUUUGCAUGUGUUCAUUCAAAUAUAUGGAGUUGACCUGUAUGUGUUGCUUCUGUGCACACUAUGUUUCAUAUGAAUUUGUAGGAGAGAAACUCUAUAAUGGUAAUGAAGUAUUGUCGAUAUUUACUCUGUUGCUUAAGGCCUAGGCAUCCUUUUGGAUGCAGUUAUGGUAGCAUGUGUGAGAGAAGUGGAUGGAAAAUUAGGGACUGAAACAAGUGGAGAAGAAAGUUAUUAGUUGAUUCUCACAUCAGAUAGAAGUUGUCUCACGAAUGUUUAUUUAUUUAGUGACCAGGCAUGAGAUCUGGAAUAUUGAAGAGCAACAAUUGGCAGAAGUAUUAGAUGAGUUUGGGAAUACAUGGUCAUGUAUGGAGUAUUUUCAUGAUUAGGUUUCCAUCGCUCUUCUCCUGAAGGCAUGAUGCCUCAUUUCAAUUCUCUUAUCUUGGUGUGUUUGUAUUCAGAAAAUUAAGGCAUGAUUCAUCAUUUAGAUUAUCUUAUCUCCGUGUGUUUGUAUUCAGAAAAUCAAUUUGCUUAUUUUUUGCUUUCUUAGGGCUAUAAAAAGAGAAAAUUCCAUCGCUGAAAAUCUUUUAAAGAGAUUGAGGAUAAAAAAAUCCAAGCAAACUCCGCUUUUCUCCCGUAUUUUUUAUGCGCGCCUUAAUCUGUGUUAGGAGAAAAAUAUUGCUCUUUGUUCAGAAAAUGUUUAUUGGAUGGAAAAUACUCAGCAUUUAAAGUUUUUUCUUCAGAUGUUUUGGGUUUUUUGAGCAGGCUGCCCGACAGGUCUUGCGUUUUUUGCAAGAUUUGUAUGGAUUUGUGGUUCAUGACUAUAACUAUGAAUGUAUGAUGGCCUAUAGGAGAUAUGUCUGUUCUUUAAUGAUCAUUGCGGUUUCUUGGGUUCCUACUAUGCUAUUUAUUCAGUCUGUAGGCCAGCAUAUUAUUUUAAUUCUUUCUAACUUCCUUUCUAUACAUAG
This 1581-nucleotide long non-coding RNA is filed under the name Triticum aestivum (bread wheat). RNAcentral describes it as "long non-coding RNA (TAES_LNC005702)". Lineage: Eukaryota; Viridiplantae; Streptophyta; Magnoliopsida; Poales; Poaceae. The record is from RNAcentral.